This is a long non-coding RNA of Salvia miltiorrhiza (redroot sage), 449 nucleotides long. RefSeq lists it as uncharacterized. The record is from RefSeq and is a predicted model, not a curated record. Lineage: Eukaryota; Viridiplantae; Streptophyta; Magnoliopsida; Lamiales; Lamiaceae. The transcript is spliced from 3 exons.
UCAAUGAAAUGUUUUUCCUGCUUGUGUAGUAUGCUUGAUCCUUGCAGGCAAGUGUGCUUACCGGAAAAGCUAGAUGGUGAAGUGUUAAGAGACGUAUGCACUCCACACUUUUUAGCCCCAAACCGCGUAUACUUAGUAUUUUGGAGUAUAUGCUAGUACAGCAUGACUCGUAGAUCCGGUGAUGACUGAAAUUGCCUGCAUGUAAUCAAUACUUACUUAACUUUGUCUGGUUGAACAUCUCGCAGCCAUUCCAGGUCAAUGCUUCCAUGAUCUUUAACCAAUCUGUUGAGGAAAGCCUGCAGAAAUCCGUCACGUAAUGAUAUUGAGGAAUUACCUGUUGGGUUUUGCCCGAGUGCUUCAGCUGAUUUCACGGUGUCCGUUGGAAAAAUGCUUUCCUGCUGAAAGGUCUCCUGCAUUCCUCCGAGUUUAUAGUUCAUGAAAUGUCGGUU